Molecule: ribosomal RNA, 503 nt
Filed under: uncultured bacterium
Lineage: Bacteria
Description: partial 16S ribosomal RNA
Rfam family: Bacterial small subunit ribosomal RNA
Source: RNAcentral
AUUGAACGCUGGCGGCAGGCCUAACACAUGCAAGUCGAGCGGGGUGAUGGUGCUUGCACUAUCACUUAGCGGCGGACGGGUGAGUAAUGCUUAGGAAUCUGCCUAUUAGUGGGGGACAACAUCUCGAAAGGGAUGCUAAUACCGCAUACGUCCUACGGGAGAAAGCAGGGGAUCACUUGUGACCUUGCGCUAAUAGAUGAGCCUAAGUCGGAUUAGCUAGUUGGUGGGGUAAAGGCCUACCAAGGCGACGAUCUGUAGCGGGUCUGAGAGGAUGAUCCGCCACACUGGGACUGAGACACGGCCCAGACUCCUACGGGAGGCAGCAGUGGGGAAUAUUGGACAAUGGGGGGAACCCUGAUCCAGUCAUGCCGCGUGUGUGAAGAAGGCCUUAUGGUUGUAAAGCACUUUAAGCGAGGAGGAGGCUCUUUUGGUUAAUACCCAAGAUGAGUGGACGUUACUCGCAGAAUAAGCACCGGCUAACUCUGUGCCAGCAGCCGCGGUAA